Molecule: long non-coding RNA, 349 nt
Filed under: Ananas comosus (pineapple)
Lineage: Eukaryota; Viridiplantae; Streptophyta; Magnoliopsida; Poales; Bromeliaceae
Description: long non-coding RNA (ACOM_LNC019366)
Source: RNAcentral
AAAUUAUUAUUUUAUUUUUUUAAAUAUAUUUUUCUAUUGUUACCAAUUUUUUUAUUUGUCCUUAAGUUAGGGACAAUAAAAGUAUUUUAAUUCUUUGCCCUUUCAAAUAUAUCUUCUAUCGUCGCCAAAUUUUUUUAUUUAACCUUAAGUUAGGGACAAAAAAGGUAUUUUGACUUUUUUUAAACUCCGAUAAAAAUUUAAUCUGGAUUUACCGAGAUGACUAAUUAAUAGAUACUAACAACAUAGUUAUUUUUAAAUAACGAAAAAAUAUACGAGAUAUGUACAAAAAAAGUACUAUCUAGGAGUUUAUAAUAUAUAUUAAAAAUUAUAUAGGUAUAUAAAUAAUUUU